RNAcentral lists this ribosomal RNA (253 nucleotides) under uncultured bacterium. RNAcentral's name for it is "partial 16S ribosomal RNA". It matches the Rfam family "Bacterial small subunit ribosomal RNA", at positions 524 to 776 of the family's 1533-position model. The record is from RNAcentral.
UACAGAGGUCCCAAGCGUUGUUCGGAUUUACUGGGCGUAAAGGGAGCGUAGGUGGCAUUCUAAGUCUGAUGUGAAAGCUCUGAGCUUAACUCAGAAAUGGCAUUAGAUACUAGUUUGCUUGAGGAUUGGAGGGGAGAUUGGAAUUCUUGGUGUAGCAGUGAAAUGCGUAGAUAUCAAGAGGAACACCAGUGGCGAAGGCGAAUCCCUGGACAAUUCCUGACACUGAUGCUCGAAAGCUAGGGGAGCAAACGGG